This 253-nucleotide ribosomal RNA is filed under the name uncultured bacterium. RNAcentral's name for it is "partial 16S ribosomal RNA". It matches the Rfam family "Bacterial small subunit ribosomal RNA", at positions 524 to 776 of the family's 1533-position model. The record is from RNAcentral.
UACAUGGGGUGCAAACGUUGCUCGGAAUUAUUGGGCGUAAAGAGCUCGUAGGCGGUUUGUCGCGUCUGCCGUGAAAGUCCGGGGCUCAACUCCGGAUCUGCGGUGGGUACGGGCAGACUAGAGUGAUGUAGGGGAGACUGGAAUUCCUGGUGUAGCGGUGAAAUGCGCAGAUAUCAGGAGGAACACCGAUGGCGAAGGCAGGUCUCUGGGCAUUAACUGACGCUGAGGAGCGAAAGCAUGGGGAGCGAACAGG